Molecule: transfer RNA, 71 nt
Filed under: Marmota monax (woodchuck)
Lineage: Eukaryota; Metazoa; Chordata; Mammalia; Rodentia; Sciuridae
Description: tRNA.Gly
Source: RNAcentral
GGGGUUGGGGCUCAGUGGUUGAGUGCCUGCCUGCCAUGCGUGAGGCUCUGGGUUCAAUUCUCAGUACCACA